AGGUGGACUGCAGUUGGGGAACAGGAUGCCAAGAAGAGGACACCAACUCGGACUUCGACUUGGAGGAUCCACAAAGAUGAGCUGGUGACACAUAGAAACAGUCAAAGAACGAACUGCAAGGAUCCCUUAUGAAGUUUUUGCUGUGACUCAAAAAGGAUUCUACGAGUCGUAAUUGUCAAUUAGCUAUUCGAGUUUAUUCGGUGUUUCUGGUCGGACUGGUAAACUUGUACACGAUUUGUAAGCGAUCAAUUACCAACAGAUCUUAUCAGAAGAGCUCCCCAGAACAACCCAGAACAGUGGCAAUUAGACUGCCGAUCCUAGUUCCCGAGAUUGAUAGUACUCGGACUGUCAACUCGCGCUCUUAUGCUUAGAUUACCUCGUUUCGAUACACAUACAUUUCGAUUAAACUGUCAAUUCAUUUUAAUUACAAGA
This 432-nucleotide long non-coding RNA is filed under the name Drosophila guanche. The record is from RNAcentral. Lineage: Eukaryota; Metazoa; Arthropoda; Insecta; Diptera; Drosophilidae.